Lycium barbarum (goji berry) is the source of this 2622-nucleotide long non-coding RNA. RefSeq lists it as uncharacterized. The record is from RefSeq and is a predicted model, not a curated record. The transcript is spliced from 2 exons. NCBI's taxonomy places the organism in Eukaryota, Viridiplantae, Streptophyta, Magnoliopsida, Solanales, Solanaceae.
CGCUUCUUAUUUCCCCUACUUUACAAAAAACGCUCCCAGCCUCUGUCUCUCAAAACUCACGCACAUCACCACCACCACUCUCACCGCCCCAUCCCACCAGCUACAACGAAGUAUGUUUCAUUCCCAUGAAGCGUUGGCUUGUGUGGAUAUUCUCCACUGUGAUACCAUUAUGCAGGAAAAUGAUUUAAAGUGGAGUACUGAGUAGCUUAGUGCAAUGUUGGAUUGAUUGGAACAUGAGUUGCAGGAAACGAAUUCUUUCUUUAUUUGUCUUGGAGUACAAACUGAAAAGAGUUACUUGAAAUGUACUCUCACACAAAAGGCUUCAAGUUAACAUGGAACAAUUCAAGGAGAAGCGGAAGAUCUUCUCCUUAUGCACUAGCUCAACGACAUCAUCUUUUCAGGGAGUUCUCCAAACUUUUGCUUUAAUUAUAUAGUUACAUUGAGGACAAUGCAACAUUUUUAGUUGGGGGGAGAUACUUCAUUUUGAUAGAUAUUCUUGUGAUGGGGUGUGAUAGGUCAUGAUGGAUGAUAAUUUGGUAGAUUGACUUUAUUUUUUUUAUUUUUUAUAUUAGUAUAAUCUUUUUUUUAUUUUUUUUAUUUUUUUAUUUUAACGACUAGCUUCUUUAGUUUUUGUUAGGAGUAGAAAUGGUGUUGGGAUGUGAUUUUUUGCCCCUUGGCUAAUUUUUGGCUUGCUUGGUACCAACACAUUUAAACCUUGGCAUAUAAAUUCUAAAAAAAAGAAAAAUGAUUGAAGUAAGGAUUCUUGUUGUGACUUUUAGAUUCAAUGUUUGGCUCUUUUGUUUCACUAAAUGGUCUCUUUAGACUAUAAGUGACUUUCUUUGAGUUCAUUUGUUUCAAUUGGAUUUUGAAUACAUAUUUCACGUGAUUUUUCAUGUGCCAUGUGUGGUGAGGUUAUUUGUGAGUUCUUUUGCAUUACUUGUGGUCUAGAACUUGCUCGGAAUGUGUUUCAAGGCGAAAUCUUAGACUAACUUGGUUUGAAAAAUGAUGUUAGGCCUUCCUUGGACCGUUUUUGUGCCUUAAAUUUCCUACCCUUGUAUAUUUUCCCUAGUCAACCCUUUUUUAGCCUUUAACCUUUUCUUUGACAACUAUGUUACAAGUUUUACCCCCUUCUUCAUUGAUCCAUCUUUUGGAACCCUACCUCCUUAAGUGCGUUGAAAGUACAAACAUAGGCUAAAAGCCUAAGUUUGGGGGUCAUGGUUGGAAAAUGUUGUUAUGUGGGAGUUACUUUAAAGGUGAAAAGGUGAAAGAAAAAAAAUGAAAACUUCCUUGUAAUUUUGAAAAAGAAAAAAAAAAGAGAAAAAGAAAAAGGAAUGAAUAAUAAGAGUUGUGAAUAAAGGGAAGACUAGGUGGUGAAAUGAAAAAUGAAGAAAGGGGUGGAAAAGUUUCAAAGGAAGUCUUCUUUGAGUGUUUAAAAUUGUAGUGCUUAGGGAGGUUUUGAGUCACUUUUACCCAAAUUGUGCCUUAUCUUAACCAAAAGCCCUACAUUAUAAUCCUUUAAGUCCUAAUUGAUUUUGAACCAAGUGUGUCUACAUUAGUGGAGAAAUACAUGAAGGGCAAGCUUAUGGUACUAUUUGUGUGCAUGUGAACAUCUUUGUGAGAGAGAGAAUUAAUUCUUUCUAUUUGAUAUCCCAUUUGUGUUUUGAAUUACAUUUUCUAAGUGUGGGAUUCUCUCUUAAGUGUGAGGGCACAUGAGAAUUUAAGUUGUGAAUUUGUUUCAUUUUCCAAUUGAGAGGAACGAACAAAAGAAAGUUGUUUUGCGAUAAUGGGGUAAAUUUUGAAGCUUUAGUAUCAUGACUUGAUUGCUUCUUUGAUUAACUUGGUGUUUGAGCACUUGAAAUGAAAAUGAAGUUUUGAGAAGAAGUUGGUGAUUCAUAUGUUUUGGAUUAAUUGGCGGUACCAAUCAGAGUCGUGUUUGUGCUUAAAGUAGACUUUUUGACUUGAUAUGAUGUUAGUGCACUAUUGAGUCGAUUCCUUAGAAGGAGAUUGUAUGUUUUGAAUUGCUUGAGGACAAACAAUAGUUUAACUUUGGGGGUUUGAUAAGUUGGUAUUUUACCAACUUAUCUCUUCUUUUAUGCUUAGAUUUUUGUUAUGUUUGAUUGAAAAAAUAGUGCAUUUCCUAUGCUUUGCUUCAAUUUUAUAGGUUUAUAUGGUUGAGAAGAGUAUUGGAAGAAGCCAAGUGAAAACAAGUCAAAAAGGAGCUAAAAUGAAGAAAAUGAGAAAAUUGGCUAAAAGUGCAAAAAAUGGCUGGAAAUGCAAAUCAGAAAUUUAAAAGUUGGGGCUAUUUUCGUCAUAUUUUUAAUUGGAAAAUUGGGGAGCUACAAAAUAGAGACUUGGGGCAUAUUAUUUUCAUCUUUGCCCAUCUUCCAAGCUUGGAGCAAGAAAUUACACUAGGGUUUGAAGAUUUGGAGACACACAAUGAGAAAUUCUUUACCCAUUUUUUCAACUCUUGCUUUGUAAUUUAUAUAUAAGUGUGUAGCAUUUUAUUCCAUCACUUUGAUCUCGUUUUUGGACAUCUUAAUUUGCAAAGUUGGAUUAUAUAUCUUGUUAUACUUAUGUAUUGGAUGAUUUUUAUUUCUAAUGAAAUGGGUUAGUGUUUCUCUA